CAGGGAGUGAGGCGGCGGGCAGGGGACGGCGGCGUUGCCGACUGCGGGUUUAGGUGCCAGAAGAUCUUGAUGAAGCUUUCCUGGAUCAGAAAUGAAACUUUAAGGUCACAUUAUCACAGGUCACAUCCUCAGGGUCACCUCUUCCAGGAGGUUGCUCCAGCACCUGUGACAGCAGCAAACAGGGAUCUGUCCUCCUUGGAAUUGUGCCUACAGACUGCAAGAGCCUGGAUCUGAGUUUAGCACCUGGAUUAAUCCUGAAGGAAAUCCAGGAGGUCUUGAAAUAAAUAGCUCCUGUAUGAAGACUUUCCCAAAAUCUGAGAUGCAUUUAAUGGUAAGAGGACCAACAUCUGCUGGGAGAGACUCAUCCAAAGAACAAGGAAACUCUUGAAUCCAGAUGAUCUGAAGCCUGGGCUGAGCUUAAAUGGAGCUCCUGGCCAGUGAGGAUGUUUGGGGUAACUGAGGCCUCUCUGCUGACAAGGUGCUGACACUGACCUAACUGCAGGAUGGAGGAUAAAAAAUGAUAAAAAACCAAUCAAACAAACAAACAAAAAAAAAAACCUGACAGAAGAAAUAGCACCAUACAGAGCUUCAAACAUGAGGCAGAAGGGAAAAGUGGUGAGCAAUUCAGCAGGAAAACUGGUUUAAUCUCCACCUAAAGGCUUGUUCAGGAGACCUGAGGGUUAGGAAGGAGCAGUGGCCCUUGCAAAGGCCAAAGAGUGACAGCCCAGAGCAGAGGGAUCUGCACUGCUCAUGGCACGGAUCCCACCAGAGUGAGGGAGCAGAUCCUCAGCCAAAGGGAGAGCACACCAGGCUCAGACCCUAAAUCCCCUUGGCUGGGAAAGCUGCCUGCUACCACCAAAGUCCAAGGAAAGGUCAGUGCCUGAGGUCACUGGCAAUUUUGGAAUGACAGAAAACCCCACUUAACUCUUUGCAGGCUGUUGCCACCAACAUUUCUCCUAAGAAAAUCCUCUUUUUGCUGAUGCCACCUCUGCAGUUUGGGAUAAAACUUCCCAUCAGCCCAGAGGAGCACAGGUUCACACUGAGCAAAGGACACCUCUACUCAAAUUCUUCUCCAAUUGUUCUUCCAGCUCCAAAACAAGGAAAAUUUUUGUUAAUGUUGGCUGGAAUUAAAGGCUUUUGCUGCUUUUUUUUGCAUUUGGGAUAUCUCAGGAGGGCUCCACACCUCACAGAUGGAGUCCCUAACAGGAUGCAGCAAAGGUAAACAGGCAGAAAAUGAGGAAUAGCUUAUUUAGGUGAAACUGAAGAAGAGCUGUACAUCAGGAGGGAAGAUCACUCAAGCUGGAAUACAGCCAGGACACCAAAGGCAGACCUUUAAAACGUGAGGGGGAAAACCCCCAAACCUUUAAGAUCUUCACUGAAUGCAGUUGGGAGUCAUGGACACGCUCAGUUUCUCCUUUCUACCUAUCCUGUGGCAACUUCAUAGCCAAGGAAAAGAAAGUGGGGACUUCUGAAUUGCUGUGGAACAUGAUCCAAACUGCCCAGACUCCUGAAGGUCCCGUUUGUGCAUCCCCCAUGAGAGGUGACAGCACUGAGCUGUGAGGCAGGCUGGGGUUAAACACAAACUGAGUCUUCUUCAUUAAUCCCUUCCAAAUUCUCCUUAUGGAUAUACCCUGCAGGAACACACAAUUUCUCCCUGGUAGUGUCUACUUAUAAAAGCCUGAUAUAUUUAAUUCUGGAAAAAAAGCUGUCUUUGGGUUAAAUAAAAUAAAAACAGCCUACCUCAAAAUCCGAGUUCCAUGGUAUAUAGAAAACUGUGGGAACCCUGUUAAAAAGUAUCACUGUAUUAAGUUGUGCAGUUGGGUUUCCUUCUAAUUUCUGUGUUCUUUUGUCACAAUUUAAGGUGAGGACAAGAAUGUUUCUCAAACCAGCAUUGUGCUGACAUUCGACAAUACGGGAUACACAUCCUCGGAAUUUUUAUAAAGUGCAAUUCUUAAAUAUUAUUUUUCCAAAAUGCUGCCCAGAGGAGCCAUUCUGGCUGAUCAAACAGCCCCUGGAACUGCAGUAAAUGCUCACACAGCAUUCCUGCAAACAGGGCCUCGUAUGAAAACCAAACACCGCAGGGGCACUGUGAAACACCAGUUAGCACCUUUAUAAAAGCCUGCUCCCGAGGUUAACUGCACUGCAGCCCUGGCAGAUCACAGAACUGAGAGCCUUGUACGAGCACAGGGUGGGAUUGUGUUAAUUUGUCUCAGAGGGUGCAAUUGCAAUGGUCCUUUCUUGUCUUCGGAGGAAUCCUGCUCCGAGACGAUGCACGCCAGGAGGGUUUUUAUGGGAACCUGCUCCUGCAGGGGGGUGCUCCUGCUUUCACACAGCUGCUCUUGUGCCCUUCAAUCUGCACAAGACUGUCUGAACAGGAAAUACAAAAGCUCUACACUGAAAUUUGCUCUGUGAUCAAGUUAUCCAAGUGAUGUUUCGUCCUUACACCGCGUU
Zonotrichia albicollis (white-throated sparrow) is the source of this 2451-nucleotide non-coding RNA. Lineage: Eukaryota; Metazoa; Chordata; Aves; Passeriformes; Passerellidae. The record is from RefSeq and is a predicted model, not a curated record.